AAGAAGUGAACUCAAUACCAAGCAACGGGAAGUAGGUUAGAAUAGUAUAAAUAACCCGGCAUUCCACACGGUAGAGCAAUUGCAGAGUCCCAGCUGCUGCCCUCUCGUGGUCACUGAAGCAGGAGACUGAAACCACCUCUUCACGGGCUUCAAGCAGCUCAGCCGCGGGCAGAGCGGAGCUCAGGAUCACGGUGCUGAUUUGUGGCAGUUACUCGGAACAGAAUCAUUUCUCUGUCCUGCGGCUGUGGGCCAGUAAUAACGGCGCAGUGAGCAGAGUGUCCUGGAGACGGAACCGGAGGCUCAUCCAGUCGAUAGUGAAGUCGUGUAGGGCCGCACACGCCGCAGUGACGGACUGGCGCCGGACCCAG
Non-coding RNA from Lepisosteus oculatus (spotted gar), 368 nucleotides. The record is from RefSeq and is a predicted model, not a curated record. NCBI's taxonomy places the organism in Eukaryota, Metazoa, Chordata, Actinopteri, Semionotiformes, Lepisosteidae.